Molecule: transfer RNA, 68 nt
Filed under: Pteronura brasiliensis (giant otter)
Lineage: Eukaryota; Metazoa; Chordata; Mammalia; Carnivora; Mustelidae
Description: tRNA-Arg
Rfam family: tRNA
About the family: Transfer RNA (tRNA) molecules are approximately 80 nucleotides in length. Their secondary structure includes four short double-helical elements and three loops (D, anti-codon, and T loops). Further hydrogen bonds mediate the characteristic L-shaped molecular structure. tRNAs have two regions of fundamental functional importance: the anti-codon, which is responsible for specific mRNA codon recognition, and the 3' end, to which the tRNAs corresponding amino acid is attached (by aminoacyl-tRNA synthetases). tRNAs cope with the degeneracy of the genetic code in two manners: having more than one tRNA (with a specific anti-codon) for a particular amino acid; and 'wobble' base-pairing, i.e. permitting non-standard base-pairing at the 3rd anti-codon position.
Source: RNAcentral
UGAUAAUUAGUUUAAUAAAAACAAAUGAUUUCGACUCAUUAGAUUGUAGCUCAUACUGCAAUUAUCAA